This 166-nucleotide ribosomal RNA is filed under the name Sigmops sp. CBM DNA No. 2015-230. RNAcentral describes it as "partial 12S rRNA". The record is from RNAcentral. Lineage: Eukaryota; Metazoa; Chordata; Actinopteri; Stomiiformes; Gonostomatidae.
CACCGCGGUUAUACGAGAGACCCAAAUUGAUAACUACCGGCGUAAAGCAUGAUUAGGGAUUCAACCAACUAAAGCCCAACCCACCCCCGCUGUCAUACGCCCCGGAAAAAUGAAAACCCACCACGAAAGUAGCUUUAACAUACCUGAACUCAUGACAACUAAGGAA